AUACGUAGGGAGCGAGCGUUGUCCGGAAUUACUGGGCGUAAAGGGCGCGUAGGCGGCGCUUCAAGUCGUCUGUCAAAUGGGAGGGCUUAACCCUUUUUCGCAGACGAAACUGGAGAGCUUGAGAAGCAGAGAGGCAAACAGAAUUCCUGGUGUAGCGGGGAAAUGCGUAGAUAUCAGGAAGAAUACCAGUGGCGAAGGCGGUUUGCUGGCUGCAUACUGACGCUGAAGCGCGAAAGCCAGGGUAGCGAACGGGAUUAGAUACCCCGGUAGUCCUGGCCGUAAACGAUGGGUACUAGGUGUGGGAGGUAUCGACCCCUUCCGUGCCGGAGUUAACGCAAUAAGUACCCCGCCUGGGGAGUACGGCCGCAAGGCUUAAACUCAAAGGAAUUGACGGGG
Molecule: ribosomal RNA, 396 nt
Filed under: uncultured bacterium
Lineage: Bacteria
Description: partial 16S ribosomal RNA
Rfam family: Bacterial small subunit ribosomal RNA
Source: RNAcentral